ACACUAGCUGUAUACUGCUGAGGCAGCACACGCUCCAAAAUUGUCAACAGUCUGAAGGGUUCUGGGCCUGCUUCGGGUAUUUUAUUUUUAUUGUUUGCUUUUUGGUUACGGAAUUAUUGUUGUAGGCAUCGGGGAGCACCUUUAUUGACUAAUACCUAGCUACACUGUGUCAGUAUGCAACAGUUGCAAAAUCAGAUUAUUCUAAACACCAAGAGGCAGUGGCAGAAAAUUGACAUGGGUAAACAACAAAUAUGGAACUUGCUGAAUUUCAAGUCUACAAUAAAAUCGAUCAAUAAAGUUCCACAGAACAUGAUGCAUUCUACACCUGUGAUUUUUAACCUAAAAAAUAAGUGUCAGGAUAUGAGAAAUUUUCCAGUAUUGGAAGGUGAAAUCCCAUCAUUCUGUAGACAUAUAUUUGAGGGAAAUAUGAAGAACAGUGAAACAUGUAUUCAAAGAUAUUCAGAGCUGUCUGAGAAGAUCAGCAAAAGCAGAACAAAAAGUGCAAUAUUGAUUCAUACACAGAGGACAAAGAAAUUGCUUGUUCACGAACGCUUAAAAUUGCUUCUUGAUGAUGAAUCUUUUCUUGAGCUUUCUCCUCUUGCAGGGCUUAAUAUGCCAUAUGGUGAUGUUCCUGCUGGGGGAUGUAUCACUGGAAUUGGAAGAAUAUCUGGAAUCUGGUGUUCUUUCAUGGCAAAUGAUUCAUCAAUAAAAGGUGGAACCAUUUAUCCUGUUACCUUGAAGAAAAUACUAAGAUGUCAAGAAAUAGCAAUUAAAAAUAAACUUCCAUUUGUCUACAUAGUAGACAGUGGGGGAGCAUUCUUGCCACUUCAGGCUGAGCUGUUUGCUGACAAAUUCCAUGGCGGCCGAAUGUUCUAUAAUCAGGCUGUAAUGUCUGCACUGAAAAUCCCUCAGGUGUCAGUUGUAUGUGGCUCUUGUACUGCUGGAGGUGCUUAUACUCCUGUGAUGUCAGAAGAAACAUCCAUUGUAGAUAAAAUUGGGACAGUGUUUCUUGGUGGUCCCCCUUUAGUUAAAGCAGCCACAGGAGAAGAUACUAAUCCUGAGGAAUUAGGAGGAGCCAGUUUGCAUGCUAAGGUCAGUGGCUGUGUUGAUCAUUUUGCAUCUUCUGAAAAAGAAGCAUUUGAAUAUAUUAAAAAUGCUAUUUCAACACUGAAUUAUGUAAUUCCCAUAGAAGAGAUUCCAGAAUUUGAUAAUCCCUUGUAUGGUGAUGAUGACCUCCUAGGACUUGCACCACAAGAUUAUAGUUACACAUUACAUAUAAAAUUGAUUCUGAGUCGGAUAAUAGAUGGCAGCAGAUUCCAAGAAUUCAAAGCUAAUUAUGGUAUAACUUUGGUAACAGGAUUUGCCUACAUAGAAGGUGAACUAAUUGGAAUAGUGGCUAACAAUGGUGAGCUGACACACAAUGCUUCUCUGAAAGGUUGCCACUUCAUACAGCUUUGUAGCCAAAGAAACAUUCCUAUUCUGUUUCUCAUGAAUACUGUUCCAUGUACUGCAGAGGCAACCAAUCCCAUACAGGCAGAAGAUCAAGCUAACAGGUUAAAGGCACAGGCCUCCAUGAUGGCUGCAGUUGCCUGUGCCUCUGUACCAAAGAUAACAUUUGUGAUUGGUGGCUGUUUAGGAAGUGAAAGUUAUGCUAUGUGUGGAAGAUCGUUUGAUCCAAACUUUCUGUUUCUUUGGCCGAAUGCAAGAAUUGCUCUUGUGGAUUCAAGACGUAGUUUCACAUUCAAACAGCUAUGGAACAAUAACAAUUCAGAACCAGAAAUAGACUUAAAAGUAUUAAAAGAAAAGCUGCAAAAGGAAAGUAAUGCACUUUACUCUUCUGCCAGGAUCUGGGAUGAUGGAGUAAUCUUGCCCCAGAAUUCAAGGAAGGUUAUUGGACUAUGUUUAAGAAUUAUGAAGCAACAAAGAUACCGGAUAGUGUCCAUGCAACAAUCUUCUUUUCCUAUCAUGAGAAUUGUCUUCCUACUGCAGUAACUUUCCCCCAAUAUUCUUAUGGAUCUCACCCCAGCCAUAUUUAGAUGAGUCCCUCAGACUGGCUUUUUCCACAGACUUUGGGCUAGAGAGAACAGCUACUCCUUUGUGGGUUGUCUGAUCUGAAAUGAUGGUCAAUUUCUUUGGACAAUAUUUUUCCUUACCUUGUCGUGGUCCUGAAAAAAUAACUUCUGGAUCCAGCCAUAUGGUAUCAUCACUGUGCAGAAUUGCUGUUGCUGUUGUAUUAGGUAAUGUGAUUAGAUUUUUUCCUGUAUCAGCCUAGAACAUCCCCCACAGAAAUAAAGUAAGAAGCAUUCUAUACUGUGCCCCAUUUUUCAACAUUUCACCUAUUUUUCCAACAAUAUAAGUAAAAGGUCUCAUAAACACUUUUUAAAAAAGUCUUGGUUUUAAGAGAGAAAACUGAAACACUAAUUCAAUCAUGUUCUCUCAAAAUAUCCUUUUUUGUUCCUCUAUGUAAAUGCCUCUUGUUCUUUGGGAAAAUACAAAAUAUUACGCUUGAAAAUAAUAUUGCAAAGAACGUCUGAACGUUAUCACACACCCAACCAGCCAAAUGUACAUUGCAUUCUCUAUGAAGUCCUUGCUGGCAAAUAUAUCUGUACACAUUACAUGUGCAAAAUAUUGGUUUUCUUUCCGAUAUAUAAUAUUUAAUUCUUACCUUCUCAAUAUUUAAGGGAAGGACAUACCGUCGAACUUCAGGUUGAGGAGCUUUUUGUGCAUUUUUCUUUACUUCUUCCCAAUUUUCUCGUAAAUUGGCUAAGUAUAAGUAAUUGUAAACAAAUUCAUACCUAUACAGGAAUAAAAGGCACCAGCUCUCAAUGAACAGGUCAUGGACUCUAGCCUAACAGCUACCUAUUUGACCAUGGCAGAAUAAUUAUUUCUGGGUCACUGAAAUCUAUAUGUCAAAAAUAUCACUGCAUAUAUAUUAUAUUUAUCACUGUAUUUAUAUUUUUCUAGUUAAUGACACCCAAAUCAAGUAGA
RNA transcript from Thamnophis elegans (Western terrestrial garter snake), 2988 nucleotides. It is a transcript of the gene named methylcrotonoyl-CoA carboxylase beta chain, mitochondrial-like, with no coding region annotated. Lineage: Eukaryota; Metazoa; Chordata; Lepidosauria; Squamata; Natricidae. The transcript has 15 exons. The record is from RefSeq and is a predicted model, not a curated record.